UACGUAGGGGGCAAGCGUUGUCCGGAUUUAUUGGGCGUAAAGAGCGUGUAGGCGGUCAGGUAGGUCCGUUGUGAAAACUCGAGGCUCAACCUCGAGACGCCGAUGGAAACCAUCUGGCUAGAGUCCGGAAGAGGAGAGUGGAAUUCCUGGUGUAGCGGUGAAAUGCGCAGAUAUCAGGAAGAACACCCGUGGCUAAGGCGGCUCUCUAGUACGGUACUGACGCUGAGACGCGAAGGCGUGGGGAGCGAACGGG
Molecule: ribosomal RNA, 253 nt
Filed under: uncultured bacterium
Lineage: Bacteria
Description: partial 16S ribosomal RNA
Rfam family: Bacterial small subunit ribosomal RNA
Source: RNAcentral